Molecule: non-coding RNA, 29 nt
Filed under: Mus musculus (house mouse)
Lineage: Eukaryota; Metazoa; Chordata; Mammalia; Rodentia; Muridae
Source: RNAcentral
UCUGUCAAGAUUGAGCUGCAUGUGGGAUA